AACUAUUUUAUAGCUCAUAACAUAAAUCAUUAAAUUAUUUUAUAAACUAAAACAAAACAUUUAAACAAUUAUAGUAUAGGUGAUAGAAAUUCUAAAUAAUAAUAACGCUAUAGAGAAAGUACCGCAAGGGAAAAUUGAAAGAACAAAUUAAGUAAUAAACAGCAAAGAUUAAAACUUGUACCUUUUGCAUAAUGAUUCAACAAGAAAAUACUAGCAAAAAGAAUUAAAGUUAGAUAACCCGAAACCAGACGAGCUACUUAUCAGCAGCCUACAGAGCAAACUCAUCUAUGUAGCAAAAUAGUGAGAUGACUGAUAAUUAGCGGUGACAAGCCUAUCGAGCCUGGUGAUAGCUGGUUGUCCAGAACAGAAUUUUAGUUCUAAUUUAAGCUUACCAUAUAAAUAUGAAAAUUUAAAUGUAUACUUAAAUAAUAAUCUAAAAGGGUACAGCCUUUUAGAUACGGAAUACAAUCCCUAUUAGAGAGUAAAUUUUACAAGCCACUAUAGUUGGCCUAAAAGCAGCCAUCAACUGAGAAAGCGUUUAAGCUCAACAGUAAAAAAGUUUAAUCCCACAAUAAAAACUAAACUCCUAAAACAUAACUGGACUAUUCUAUUUCUAAAUAGAAGAAAUAAUGUUGAUAUGAGUAACAAGAAAUUAUUUCUCCUUGCAUAAAUGUAUAUCAGAACGAAUAUAUCACUGAUAGUUACCAAAAUAAGUAUAAUCAAACAUUAGUUCACUAAUACCUAUUGUUGAACCAACACAGGAAUGCAAUUAAAGGAAAGAUUAAAAGAAAUAAAAGGAACUCGGCAAAUAUUAAACCCCGCCUGUUUACCAAAAACAUCACCUCUAGCAUAAAAAGUAUUAGAGGCACUGCCUGCCCGGUGACCAUAGUUUAACGGCCGCGGUAUCCUGACCGUGCAAAGGUAGCAUAAUCACUUGUUCUCUAAAUAAGGACUUGUAUGAAUGGCUUAACGAGGGUUUUACUGUCUCUUAUUUCCAAUCAGUGAAAUUGAUACUCCCGUGAAGAAGCGGGGAUAAAAAAAUAAGACGAGAAGACCCUAUGGAGCUUUAAUUAAUUAACUCACAAACUUUAAUAUUACCCUCUACAAGAAAUAAUCUAAUUUUAAUUGAGUUAAUAAUUUAGGUUGGGGUGACCUCGGAGUAAAAUAUAGCCUCCGAGAAAAAAUAUCAAGACUUACCAGUCAAAAUUAUAAAUUAUAACUGAUCCGCUACUAGCGAUCAACGAAAUAAGUUACCCUAGGGAUAACAGCGCAAUCCUAUUUGAGAGUUCAUAUCGACAAUUAGGGUUUACGACCUCGAUGUUGGAUCAGGACAUCCCAAUGGUGCAGCAGCUAUUAAUGUGUUCGUUUGUUCAACGAUUAAAGUCCUACGUGAUCUGAGUUCAGACCGGAGUAAUCCAGGUCGGUUUCUAUCUAUUAAAAAUCUCUCCUAGUACGAAAGGACCAGAGAGAUAAGGCCUACUUAUAAUUAAGCGCCCUAAUAAAACAGAUGAUUUAAUCUUAAUCUUAACAUAUUAAUUAAUCAUCCUAGAUACAGGAUAA
This 1560-nucleotide ribosomal RNA is filed under the name Pseudoromicia rendalli (Rendall's serotine). RNAcentral's name for it is "Neoromicia rendalli (Rendall's serotine) 16S ribosomal RNA". It matches the Rfam family "Bacterial large subunit ribosomal RNA". Lineage: Eukaryota; Metazoa; Chordata; Mammalia; Chiroptera; Vespertilionidae. The record is from RNAcentral.